Molecule: ribosomal RNA, 758 nt
Filed under: uncultured bacterium
Lineage: Bacteria
Description: bacterial SSU rRNA
Rfam family: Bacterial small subunit ribosomal RNA
Source: RNAcentral
CAGUCGAACGAAGCACCUUGAUUUGAUUCUUCGGAUGAAGAUCUUGGUGACUGAGUGGCGGACGGGUGAGUAACGCGUGGGUAACCUGCCUCAUACAGGGGGAUAACAGUUAGAAAUGACUGCUAGUACCGCAUAAGACCACAGCACCGCAUGGUGCAGGGGUAAAAACUCCGGUGGUAUGAGAUGGACCCGCGUCUGAUUAGGUAGUUGGUGGGGUAACGGCCUACCAAGCCGACGAUCAGUAGCCGACCUGAGAGGGUGACCGGCCACAUUGGGACUGAGACACGGCCCAAACUCCUACGGGAGGCAGCAGUGGGGAAUAUUGCACAAUGGGGGAAACCCUGAUGCAGCGACGCCGCGUGAGCGAUGAAGUAUUUCGGUAUGUAAAGCUCUAUCAGCAGGGAAGAAAAUGACGGUACCUGACUAAGAAGCACCGGCUAAAUACGUGCCAGCAGCCGCGGCAAUACGUAUGGUGCAAGCGUUAUCCGGAUUUACUGGGUGUAAAGGGAGCGUAGACGGAGUGGCAAGUCUGAUGUGAAAACCCGGGGCUCAACCCCGGGACUGCAUUGGAAACUGUCAAUCUAGAGUACCGGAGAGGUAAGCGGAAUUCCUAGUGUAGCGGUGAAAUGCGUAGAUAUUAGGAGGAACACCAGUGGCGAAGGCGGCUUACUGGACGGUAACUGACGUUGAGGCUCGAAAGCGUGGGGAGCAAACAGGAUUAGAUACCCUGGUAGUCCACGCCGUANACGAUGACUACU